Drosophila melanogaster (fruit fly) is the source of this 357-nucleotide non-coding RNA. Lineage: Eukaryota; Metazoa; Arthropoda; Insecta; Diptera; Drosophilidae. The record is from Ensembl.
ACGACCAUAUACACAACUGAAAUACUUUAUGACAAUCAGGGUCCAUUCUGACGGCCAAUGCUUAUUCAUCACAUCAAAAUAUCCAAAGAAUUAUAUGCAAUCUCUAUCCCCCAUUCAUACUUGAAUAAAUAUCCCACCCUGCCGCAUUUUAUUGCUUACCACUGCAUCCGUUUGAUGUGAUUCCUUUGAACUACCCGCAGCGAGAAAAAAGAACGCCCCCCAAACUGACCAAACACCCCCAGAAUCAGCAUUGAAUAACCAUUCACGCCCGAAAAAAUGUAAUUUGAUACUUUUUUUCUGCUGAUGCAGAAGUGAGUGCCUGGCAUAUCUAAAACGAUGCAGCAAAUUAAUCGGCAC